Gallus gallus (chicken) is the source of this 1929-nucleotide long non-coding RNA. Lineage: Eukaryota; Metazoa; Chordata; Aves; Galliformes; Phasianidae. The record is from Ensembl.
UUUUUGUUUUUUGGUUUGGGGUUGUUUUUUUGUUGUUGUUGUUUUGAAUAAUUUCUCCUUAAUAGGAAUAUUAGUUUGAGCAACAAAUAACAAAGCACUUCAUAAAGAAGAAAUAAGUGAUCUUCUAGGGAAUGAACGAAUUCUAAGUGAAUAAAUAGCUGAUGAGAAUUAGUACCUCAAGUAUGUAUGUCUUUAGCUGUUCUCAACCCCCACUGUUAUAAAACUGAAGUGAUCUCUGGUAUUUGCCAGGUUACCCAAAAGAAUUAAGAAAAAAGCGUGUAAAAAUCAAUGAUGGAGAAACAAAUUACUUUAAUUACUUUUUCCUUCAUCCUAUGGGCCUCAGCCCUAACGCUAACUCAAGGAUAGUAUGGUAUGGAGAUCAGUUUUCUUUGUAAAGGAGGACUGUGGGAAUGUGGAGAGAACUAGGCCUGCUGAGAAAAACUGACACCAUAAGUUGAAUUUGAGUUCUAGUGCAAAAGAUUGCAAUUUCUGUGAUAACACUUGGGUUCAUUUGCAAAUUUUGUGAAAGAAGCAAUUUGUUUAGACUAUUAUCUAACACCUGGAAAGUGAGCUCCUCAGCAGUUUAAUAGUUGUAAUAGCACUGGACCAGUUGGGAAAAUUAAGGUAAAUUCACUGAAACUUAAAACAAUUUGCUUAAGUUAAAAUGUGUUAACAGUCUUCACAUUCGUUCUUGUUUAGGAUCAAAGAGUUACUUACUCCUACAAAGAUCUUUUGAUUACUGAAUGCAAGUGUAAGGUAAUUACAUAGAGUAACCUUACACUGUAAAAUCUUCCUAUAUGUUUUCAUAUAGACAAGUUGCUAAUUAUCUUGUGAAGCAGGGUUACUCUUCCUGUAAUACACUAGUGAUUCCAAUUAAAACUGCAUUUCAAAAUUUAACCAAAUUAAAAAGCAUUUAGUAAUUAAAUUAACUGAUAAUAACUGAAAAACAGGAGACUACUGGGUUUUUUGUUGUUGUUGUUGAUGUUGUUUAUUUGUUUGUUUUUUGUGGUUCUGCCUUUCUGUGCUUUCUAUACAACAAUACCUUGUACUCCAAGUUUUCGCUUCAGUUGACAUUACUUUCAUGUUUUGGAAUACUUUCUGCUUUCAGCAACAAAAUUAAUUUCAGCACUGUCGCAUUAGCAAGCCAUUAGGGCUCUGCAGGUUUUAAGUGAUUGUGCAUGUUUACCUCCAAGAAAUUUUAGUUUUUAAAUGGGCUUAACAUUUCAUGACAUUGUCCUUCCAACAUUGCUUACAAUCCUGUCAUUUCUUAAAUACAGUUAAGUGUUCUAUAAGAUAAUGUUGUCUUCGUCACUGUAUUUCAUGAGGUUGCAGUGGACCACCACCACAUUCAGCAGGAGCCUGCUUCUCAGGAUGUACACAAGAUGUUUUAAGUAAUUUGAUUUCCAAACAAUUGAAAACAAAACAAUUUCCAGAUCCUGAUUUUGGUUGUAAACAAUUAUGCCAUGGUUUUAGUCACAAUCAGCCAGCUCUUCUAUUUGUAUGCGCUGUUCAUAUUAUUCAGUUCUUCCUUUCUCUUGUGUUUUAAAAAUUUCACAACAAAUAAUUAUUUUUGCUUAGUAGCAUUAGUACAGGUGCCUGCAAUUGUGAUUUAAGGAGCAGAUGAAAUACAAAAAACAUUUGCCAGAAAAACUGACAAUCUGAGCCUGUGAAUCCAGUCACACAGAGCAAACAGUGCCUCGCUAUGCAACAGUGACACAAUUUUUCUUGUGUCACAGAAGCCUACAUACCAUAUAGUGUUGAUUAACAUGCUGUUCAGCUGCAUCUGGAAUUGUGACUGAACGUUGAGGAAUAAUGAUAUGGAGCUCACAUAACCUCUUUGAGAAAUGUUCAGAGUCUAGCCUAGUUUGGAUCCAAGAAGAGAGACCCAAGGAAACACAAUGCAAGCAAAGUGACAAUAAGAUACCUGGU